AGCCAAGUGUUGGCUCAGUGGUCAGAGUGCUGGACUAGGACCCAGAAAAGUUGUUGUUUAGUCGUUUAGUCAUGUCCAACUCUUCGUGACCCCAUGGACCAGAGCACGCCAGGCACUCCUGUCUUCCACUGCCUCACGCAGUUUGGUCAAACUCAUGCUGGUAGCUUCGAGAACACUAUCCAACCAUCUCGUCCUCUGUCGUCCCCUUCUCCUUGGGCCCUCCAUCUUUCCCAACAUCAGGGUCUUUUCCAGGGAGUCUUCUCUUCUCAUGAGGUGGCCAAAGUAUUGGAGCCUCAGCUUCAGGAUCUGUCCUUCCAGUGAGCACUCAGGGCUGAUUUCCUUAAGAAUGGAUAUGUUUCAUCUUCUUGCAGUCUGUGGGACUCUCAAGAGACCCAGAAGAGACCAGGGUUCAAAUCCCCACUUGGCCA
Podarcis lilfordi (Lilford's wall lizard) is the source of this 428-nucleotide non-coding RNA. Lineage: Eukaryota; Metazoa; Chordata; Lepidosauria; Squamata; Lacertidae. The record is from the annotation of a GenBank genome assembly.